AUUGAACGCCGGCGGCAUGCCUUACACAUGCAAGUCGAACGGCAGCACGGGAGCAAUCCUGGUGGCGAGUGGCGAACGGGUGAGUAAUGUAUCGGAACGUGCCCAGUCGUGGGGGAUAACGUAGCGAAAGCUACGCUAAUACCGCAUACGAUCUAUGGAUGAAAGCGGGGGAUCGCAAGACCUCGCGCGAUUGGAGCGGCCGAUAUCAGAUUAGGUAGUUGGUGGGGGAAAGGCUCACCAAGCCGACGCUCUGUAGCUGGUCUGAGAGGACGACCAGCCACACUGGGCCUGAGACACGGCCCAGACUCCUACGGGAGGCAGCAGUGGGGAAUUUUGGACAAUGGGCGCAAGCCUGAUCCAGCAAUGCCGCGUGCAGGAUGAAGGCCUUCGGGUUGUAAACUGCUUUUGUACGGAACGAAACGGCGAGCUCUAAUACAGUUUGCUAAUGACGGUACCGUAAGAAUAAGCACCGGCUAACUACGUGCCAGCCGCCGCGGUAA
RNAcentral lists this ribosomal RNA (500 nucleotides) under uncultured bacterium. RNAcentral describes it as "partial 16S ribosomal RNA". It matches the Rfam family "Bacterial small subunit ribosomal RNA", at positions 30 to 523 of the family's 1533-position model. The record is from RNAcentral.